CCUACGGGUGGCAGCAGUGAGGAAUAUUGGUCAAUGGACGCGAGCCUGAACCAGCCAAGCCGCGUGCAGGAAGACGGCCCUAUGAGUUGUAAACUUCUUUUGUAAGGGCGUAAACGCAGAUACGCGUGUCUGUCUGAAAGUAUCUUACGAAUAAGGAUCGGCUAACUCCGUGCCAGCAGCCGCGGUAAUACGGAGGAUUCGAGCGUUAUCCGGAUUUAUUUGGUUUAAAGGGUGCGUAGGCGGGUGGAUAAGUUAGUGGUGAAAGCGCGAGGCUCAACUGCCUAAUUGCCUCUGAUACUGGUCGGCUAGAGAGUAGUUGCGGUAGGCGGAAUGUAUGGUGUAGCGGUGAAAUGCUUAGAGAUCACGAAGAACACCGAUUGCGAAGGCAGCUUACCAAGCUACUUCUGACGUUGAGGCACGAAAGCGUGGGGAGCAAACAGGAUUAGAUACCCUUGUAGUC
RNAcentral lists this ribosomal RNA (460 nucleotides) under uncultured bacterium. RNAcentral describes it as "partial 16S ribosomal RNA". It matches the Rfam family "Bacterial small subunit ribosomal RNA", at positions 338 to 795 of the family's 1533-position model. The record is from RNAcentral.